AUUGAACGCUGGCGGCAUGCCUUACACAUGCAAGUCGAACGGUAACAGGUCUUCGGAUGCUGACGAGUGGCGAACGGGUGAGUAAUACAUCGGAACGUGCCCAAUCGUGGGGGAUAACGCAGCGAAAGCUGUGCUAAUACCGCAUAAGAUCUACGGAUGAAAGCGGGGGGAUCGCAAGACCUCGCGCGAGUGGAGCGGCCGAUGGCAGAUUAGGUAGUUGGUGAGGUAAAGGCUCACCAAGCCUGCGAUCUGUAGCUGGUCUGAGAGGACGACCAGCCACACUGGAACUGAGACACGGUCCAGACUCCUACGGGAGGCAGCAGUGGGAAUAUUGCAAUGGCGAAGACCUGAUCCAG
This 356-nucleotide ribosomal RNA is filed under the name uncultured bacterium. Its description in RNAcentral is "bacterial SSU rRNA". It matches the Rfam family "Bacterial small subunit ribosomal RNA", at positions 30 to 391 of the family's 1533-position model. The record is from RNAcentral.